CCUCGGAUCAGGUAUGGAUACCCGCUGAACUUAAGCAUAUCAAUAA
RNAcentral lists this ribosomal RNA (46 nucleotides) under Cladonia peziziformis. RNAcentral's name for it is "partial 28S ribosomal RNA". Lineage: Eukaryota; Fungi; Ascomycota; Lecanoromycetes; Lecanorales; Cladoniaceae. The record is from RNAcentral.